RNAcentral lists this small nuclear RNA (109 nucleotides) under Sorex araneus (European shrew). The record is from RNAcentral. Lineage: Eukaryota; Metazoa; Chordata; Mammalia; Eulipotyphla; Soricidae.
GUGCUGGCUCUGGCAGCACAUACGCUGACACUGGAACGAUCUGGAGAAGUUUAGCACUGGCCCCGCUCAAGUUCAUGAAGCACAAGUUCAUGAAGCGCUCCGUGUUUGC